Molecule: ribosomal RNA, 484 nt
Filed under: uncultured Bacillota bacterium
Lineage: Bacteria; Bacillati; Bacillota
Description: bacterial SSU rRNA
Rfam family: Bacterial small subunit ribosomal RNA
Source: RNAcentral
GGCAGCAGUAGGGAAUCUUCCACAAUGGGCGAAAGUCUGAUGGAGCAACGCCGCGUGAGCGAAGAAGGUUUUCGGAUCGUAAAGCUCUGUUGUGAGGGAAGAACAAGUAUGGGAGUAACUGCCCGUACCUUGACGGUACCUCAUCAGAAAGCCACGGCUAACUACGUGCCAGCAGCCGCGGUAAUACGUAGGUGGCAAGCGUUGUCCGGAAUUAUUGGGCGUAAAGCGCGCGCAGGCGGUCCCUUAAGUCUGAUGUGAAAGCCCACGGCUCAACCGUGGAAUGUCAUUGGAAGCUGUUCAACUUGAAUGCAGAAGAGGUAAGUGGAAUUCCAUGUGUAGCGGUGAAAUGCGUAGAUAUAUGGAGGAACACCAGUGGCGAAGGCGACUUACUGGUCUGUGAUUGACGCUGAGGCUCGAAAGCGUGGGUAGCAAACAGGAUUAGAUACCCUGGUAGUCCACGCCGUAAACGAUGAGUGCUAAGUGU